AACACGCGUAAAAGAGAAGUUACACCUCAUCCAAUAACAUUUAAUGGUUCUAUUUGUGGAUUUUUCGGCUGUACAUUAAAGAUCACAGUUAAUAAAACAGAUGCGAAUCCAUUUUUGGUAUGUGUCUGUGAAAUACUCCACUGACACCAGAGCUCUUCUCCACAGCUCUGCGGCACUUCAUAAAAAUCCUCGACAGGACAUUUGGCACAUAAAUUCUGCUAUAAAUUACACAACUCACAUGUUGAAACCUUUCUUUAACUUUUAAACACUAUAUAUUUUAUAUAUUCACUAUAAGAUAUAUUGUUUAAUUUGAAUCAGUGAGCACUGUGGGAUGAUGAAUUGUCUACUGACUUGAUGGCAGAUCCACUUUUGAGAUUUUAUCACCAUGAGAGUAUGUGACUGUUCAGGAAUCUGAAACCAUAGACAUCUAAAAGGAUGCAAAAUAUUUUUAUAGCCUGAAAAAAAAAAAAGCACAACCAACUCUAUUAAUAUGUAUUCAUUAAUUGUUUAUUAAUGAAUCAUGAUAAUCAUUUAAAUCAUUUUAAUUUCACAGUACACAGCAUGAAUGGUGUGCAAAUGCAUAUCAGUUGUUUGUAAUGCUUGUUAUUUCUGUUUUAAAAACAGUAUGUGAGAUAGAUUGUUAACUGAGUUACCACAAUAAAUAAAUUAAAAUAUUAUGACAAUGCUAAGUUAUUAAAACACUAAAUGUCAAAGCUGUUUUGCAAGUAAGUGAUUAGUAAUUGGGUUAAACUCAACAUUAACGAACAAUAUUACAUUUAAUAAUACUUAAUAGAAAAGUUAGUGUACAGUCACAUUGUUAGAAAUAUCAACUAUGAUUUAUUAAAUAAAAUAAUGUCAUUCUUAUUUAAUUUGUAUAUGUCUGUAAGGCCAGUGAUAAUUAAUAAAAGUAUAAAAAAAAAUGUAAUAAAUUAAUAAAAAAAAAUGUUAAUUAAAGUUGCUAAGUGUUGCCAUUAACUUACUGUAUAUGAAGGACACGAGGAGUUAAAUACGUUAAUGACAAAUAGAGGUCUAUAAAUGGGUAGCCAAGUGGCACAACCUAUAGAGCAAAUUCACAUGACCAAAUAGAGUGUGAGCUUUCUGCUGAGUUCACUUAAACAUCUCUAUAAAAGAGGCCGUCUGAAAGUUCCUCAAGACCUGACAGGGAUCCAUCCACGGUAAGAUAAAGUUCACAUACAAAUGCAUAUUCUACAAACUAUAUUCUGCAUUGAUUCUUUGGACUUGUACACAUUUUAAAAUCUUGCAAAGAAGAUUAGACACAUUAAAUAUUUUAUCAACUACUUCUUUAUUUUCACAGAUCAUACAUCACUUCUCUGUACUAGGGCACUGAAAAAAAGGUAAAAAUGUGUUAAACAUUUUUAUGAAUCUGCUGGCAUUCACAGAAAAAGAACAUGUUUCAGUGAAAAUCAUGAUUUUUUUGUUGUUGUAACACUAACAGGAACUCGCUGUCAUGGGAGAUGGUGAAAUGGAGUGUUUUGGCCCGGCGGCCAUUUUUCUCCGGAAGCCAGAAAAGGAAAGGAUUGAGGCUCAAAACACCCCGUUUGAUGCCAAAACGGCCUACUUUUUGUCAGAACCCGAGAACAUGUACCUGAAAGGUACUCUUGUUAGUAAAGAAGGUGGCAAGGCUACAGUCAAAACCCUGUGUGGGAAAGUAAGUCCAAAAAAGAGACUGCAAUUGUCCAUCAUAUUCCAAAUAAGCUGUUGAGUUAUAAAAUGUUGUUCAUUCUCAGACCCUCACAGAAAAGGAAGAUGAAAUCUUUCCCAUGAACCCACCCAAGUUUGACAAAAUUGAGCCCGCUGUGCUCUAUAACCUCAAAGAGCAUUACGCAGCAUGGAUGAUCUACGUAAGUCACAUAAUACUGUAUUCUUGGAAAUAAAGAGUGAUGGGAAUAAAGGGUGGCAAAAAUCUGGAUUAUCUCUCCAUUUCAGACCUACUCUGGCUUAUUCUGUGUCACCAUCAAUCCCUACAAGUGGCUGCCCGUGUACGACGUAGUUGUGUGACUGGAUACAGAGGCAAAAAGAGGAUUGAAGCUCCACCCCACAUCUUCUCCAUCUCUGACAAUGCCUACCAGUUCAUGCUCACUGGUCAGCUAUUCAACAUCUAUAUCUGUCUGAAUGUGCAGCUUUAAAAUCAACAUGAAAUCAAAACUGACCUGGCUUUCGUAAAACAUAUCCCUGGAAUUGUUGGGCAUGGUAUUCCUACAAGACAAAAAUAUUUGACAUCAAUAAUGUGCUUUUACAAAUCACAUAUAUUUAUUGAUUUUAAUAUCAAGUCAGGUUUCAUGUAUGGAAUCUAUCACCCACUUUCCACCAUGCAAUUAAUUCCGAAUGGAUAAAAUAAAGCCUUGUUUCAUGUUGUUUAUGUUUCAUGUUGAAUAAAUUGUUGAUUUAUUGUGCAGCUAAUCCUAAAUGAAACAAAGUUCAGAUCUAAUUUGAAUAUAAAUAUUCUUACAGAUCGUGAGAACCAGUCUGUCCUAAUUAUUUAAGUUAUGAUUCUUCAGACACUUUAUCAUUUUUUUUUUUUUUUUUUUUGUAUAAAAAAUUGCUUUACCAUAUUAUCGUUUCACACUCCAGCGGAGAAUCUGGUGCAGGAAAGACCGUCAACACCAAGCGUGUUUUCGCGACAAUCGCAGUGUCUGGACAGAAGAAGGCAGAACCUGUCCCAGGCAAAAUGCAGGGGUCGCUAGAGGAUCAAAUCAUUGCUGCCAACCCUCUGCUGGAGGCUUAUGGUAAUGCCAAGACUGUGAGAAAUGACAACUCCUCUCGUUUUGGUUAAUUUAUCAGGAUUCACUUCAGAUCCACUGGAAAACUGGCUUCAGCUGAUAUUGAAACUUGUGAGUCAUGCUUUUUUGAGACAAAAAUGUUUUUUAGUUGGGAUGACAAACUGCAUAUUCAAAGUCAAUGUUUUAUGUAAAAGAUCUGCUGGAAAAUUCAAGAGUAACAUUCCAGUUGUCUGCUGAGAGGAGCUACCAUAUCUUCUACAAGCUCAUAACUGGACACAAGCCAGAGCUGCUUGGUGAGAAAUCUACAGUAUUUUGGUGUAAAAACCCCAUGAAAUGUCUGAUGAGCAGUCUUAUUGCUUAUAGCCUUUAGCUUUACCAAACAUUUUACGUUACAGCCUGGAAAAAAACUGAUUUAAAAGCAACAAGACACUUUAAAAAUUCAUAAACUCCAGCCACUUACUUCACAACCAAUCGAUGGUCAGGUAAAGAAACAAUGCAUAAGCUUUAAUGCAAUCAAAAACACAGUUUGCUACUUGUUAUUGCUAGUUGGUGGCACCUGGUGUUAGGUAAAUAUUCUUCUGAUAGGACAAACUAACAAAAAAAAAAAAAUGGACUUUGGAUUUCAUGGGGUUCUUAAAACAGAAAACAGUAGUCAUGUCUUGGAAAGCGAUUAACAGUGAAUUUGAUGCUUUAGAGACACCGCUUAUCACCACCAACCCUUAUGACUAUCCAAUGAUCAGCCAGGGUGAAAUCACUGUCA
Ctenopharyngodon idella (grass carp) is the source of this 3501-nucleotide long non-coding RNA. RefSeq lists it as uncharacterized. NCBI's taxonomy places the organism in Eukaryota, Metazoa, Chordata, Actinopteri, Cypriniformes, Xenocyprididae. The record is from RefSeq and is a predicted model, not a curated record. The transcript is spliced from 3 exons.